UGGGGAAUUUUGGACAAUGGGGGAAACCCUGAUCCAGCCAUCCCGCGUGUGCGAUGAAGGCCUCCGGGUUGUAAAGCACUUUUGGCAGGAAAGAAACGUCAUGGGUUAAUACCCCGUGAAACUGACGGUACCUGCAGAAUAAGCACCGGCUAACUACGUGCCAGCAGCCGCGGUAAUACGUAGGGUGCAAGCGUUAAUCGGAAUUACUGGGCGUAAAGCGUGCGCAGGCGGUUCGGAAAGAAAGAUGUGAAAUCCCAGAGCUCAACUUUGGAACUGCAUUUUUAACUACCGGGCUAGAGUGUGUCAGGGGGGGGUGGAAUUCCGCGUGUAGCAGUGAGAUGCGUAGAUAUGCGGAGGAACACCGAUGGCGAAGGCAGCCUCCUGGGAUAACACUGACGCUCAUGCACGAAAGCGUGGGGAGCAAACAGG
This 429-nucleotide ribosomal RNA is filed under the name Acidobacteriota bacterium. RNAcentral describes it as "Acidobacteria bacterium partial 16S ribosomal RNA". It matches the Rfam family "Bacterial small subunit ribosomal RNA", at positions 355 to 776 of the family's 1533-position model. The record is from RNAcentral. Lineage: Bacteria; Pseudomonadati; Acidobacteriota.